GCGCACUUCAUGCUGGGUUUUGGUUGCGAACAACUCCCUCGCUGUGGUCUGGACUGUCAUCUCCUCCCUACUCCUGUUUCCCUGUGACUACCAAUGCGAAUGCUGACCGUGGAGCUGACACACUUCCCUCCUCUGCUCCUGUUCCCCUGGGCUAGCUCGCAUUGUGGAAAAGGCCGAGGUAGGCAUUGGUUAUUGUUCUAACAGUGUAACGGUCCUAUUUUAAAUAUGUAUCUGGUACA
Long non-coding RNA from Alosa alosa (allis shad), 239 nucleotides. RefSeq lists it as uncharacterized. The record is from RefSeq and is a predicted model, not a curated record. The transcript is spliced from 3 exons. Lineage: Eukaryota; Metazoa; Chordata; Actinopteri; Clupeiformes; Clupeidae.